UAUUAUGAGAGUUUGAUCCUGGCUCAGGACGAACGCUGGCGGCGUGCCUAAUACAUGCAAGUCGAACGCUUCUUUCCUCCCAAGUGCUUGCACUCAAUUGGAAAGAGGAGUGGCGGACGGGUGAGUAACACGUGGGUAACCUACCCAUCAGAGGGGGAUAACACUUGGAAACAGGUGCUAAUACCGCAUAACAGUUUAUGCCGCAUGGCAUAAGAGUGAAAGGCGCUUUCGGGUGUCGCUGAUGGAUGGACCCGCGGUGCAUUAGCUAGUUGGUGAGGUAACGGCUCACCAAGGCCACGAUGCAUAGCCGACCUGAGAGGGUGAUCGGCCACACUGGGACUGAGACACGGCCCAGACUCCUACGGGAGGCAGCAGUAGGGAAUCUUCGGCAAUGGACGAAAGUCUGACCGAGCAACGCCGCGUGAGUGA
RNAcentral lists this ribosomal RNA (429 nucleotides) under Enterococcus faecalis. RNAcentral describes it as "bacterial SSU rRNA". It matches the Rfam family "Bacterial small subunit ribosomal RNA", at positions 1 to 408 of the family's 1533-position model. The record is from RNAcentral. Lineage: Bacteria; Bacillati; Bacillota; Bacilli; Lactobacillales; Enterococcaceae.